Molecule: ribosomal RNA, 481 nt
Filed under: uncultured bacterium
Lineage: Bacteria
Description: partial 16S ribosomal RNA
Rfam family: Bacterial small subunit ribosomal RNA
Source: RNAcentral
GAUGAACGCUGGCGGCGUGCUUAACACAUGCAAGUCGAACGAAGCAUUUAAGACAGAUUACUUCGGUUUGAAGUCUUUUAUGACUGAGUGGCGGACGGGUGAGUAACGCGUGGGUAACCUGCCUCAUACAGGGGGAUAGCAGCUGGAAACGGCUGGUAAUACCGCAUAAGCGCACAGUACCACAUGGUACAGUGUGCAAAACUCCGGUGGUAUGAGAUGGACCCGCGUCUGAUUAGCUUGUUGGCGGGGUAACGGCCCACCAAGGCGACGAUCAGUAGCCGAACUGAGAGGGUGACCGGCAACAUUGGGACUGAGACACGGCCCAGACUCCUACGGGAGGCAGCAGUGGGGAAUAUUGCACAAUGGAGGAAACUCUGAUGCAGCGACGCCGCGUGAGUGAAGAAGUAGUUAGCUAUGUAAAGCUCUAUCAGCAGGGAAGAUAGUGACGGUACCUGACUAAGAAGCUCCGGCUAAAUACGUG